UAACUGAAGAGUUUGAUCAUGGCUCAGAUUGAACGCUGGCGGCAGGCUUAACACAUGCAAGUCGAGCGGGGGAAGGUAGCUUGCUACUGGACCUAGCGGCGGACGGGUGAGUAAUGCUUAGGAAUCUGCCUAUUAGUGGGGGACAACAUCUCGAAAGGGAUGCUAAUACCGCAUACGUCCUACGGGAGAAAGCAGGGGAUCUUCGGACCUUGCGCUAAUAGAUGAGCCUAAGUCGGAUUAGCUAGUUGGUGGGGUAAAGGCCUACCAAGGCGACGAUCUGUAGCGGGUCUGAGAGGAUGAUCCGCCACACUGGGACUGAGACACGGCCCAGACUCCUACGGGAGGCAGCAGUGGGGAAUAUUGGACAAUGGGGGGAACCCUGAUCCAGCCAUGCCGCGUGUGUGAAGAAGGCCUUAUGGUUGUAAAGCACUUUAAGCGAGGA
This 442-nucleotide ribosomal RNA is filed under the name Acinetobacter baumannii. RNAcentral describes it as "bacterial SSU rRNA". It matches the Rfam family "Bacterial small subunit ribosomal RNA", at positions 1 to 445 of the family's 1533-position model. Lineage: Bacteria; Pseudomonadati; Pseudomonadota; Gammaproteobacteria; Moraxellales; Moraxellaceae. The record is from RNAcentral.